GGCGACGUAGCCAAGGGGCCAAAGGCGGAGGUCUGCAAAAUCUCUAUUCGAGGGUUCAAAUCCCUCCGUCGCCUCCA
This 77-nucleotide transfer RNA is filed under the name Kosmotoga sp. Its description in RNAcentral is "tRNA-Cys". It matches the Rfam family "tRNA". Rfam says of the family: Transfer RNA (tRNA) molecules are approximately 80 nucleotides in length. Their secondary structure includes four short double-helical elements and three loops (D, anti-codon, and T loops). The record is from RNAcentral. Lineage: Bacteria; Thermotogati; Thermotogota; Thermotogae; Kosmotogales; Kosmotogaceae. RNAcentral also lists the same sequence under 2 other names.